CCUACGGGGUGCAGCAGUGAGGAAUAUUGGUCAAUGGCCGGAAGGCUGAACCAGCCAAGCCGCGUGAAGGAUGAAGGUGCCAAGCAUUGUAAACUUCUUUUGUCAAGGGAUAAAAUCAGGCACGAGAGCCUGACCGCGUGUACUUGAAGAAAAAGCAUCGGCUAACUCCGUGCCAGCAGCCGCGGUAAUACGGAGGAUGCGAGCGUUAUCCGGGUUUAUUGGGUUUAAGGGGUGCGUAGGCGGACUGUUAAGUCAGCGGGAAAAGUCCGGGGCUCAACCGAGACGAGCCGUUGAAUCGGGCUGUCUUGAGAUGUGGAGAGGUAUGCGGAAUGCGCAGUGUAGCGGUGAAAUGCUUAGAUAUUGCGCAGAACUCCGAUUGCGAAGGCAGCAUACCGGCGGCGAUCUGACGCUGAGGCACGAAAGCGUGGGUAUCGAACAGGAUUAGAUACCCCUGUAGUC
This 459-nucleotide ribosomal RNA is filed under the name uncultured bacterium. Its description in RNAcentral is "partial 16S ribosomal RNA". It matches the Rfam family "Bacterial small subunit ribosomal RNA", at positions 338 to 795 of the family's 1533-position model. The record is from RNAcentral.